RNAcentral lists this long non-coding RNA (413 nucleotides) under Pan troglodytes (chimpanzee). RNAcentral's name for it is "long non-coding RNA NONPTRT010724". Lineage: Eukaryota; Metazoa; Chordata; Mammalia; Primates; Hominidae. The record is from RNAcentral.
CUCAGCUCUAACCGUGCCUUGACUGAUCAGGACUCUUCAGUUCACCUUCUCACAAUGAGGCUCCCUGCUCAGCUUCUGGGGCUGCUAAUGCUCUGGGUCUCUGGAUCCAGUGGGGAUAUUGUGAUGACUCAGUCUCCACUCUCCCUGCCCGUCACCCCUGGAGAGCCGGCCUCCAUCUCCUGCAGGUCUAGUCAGAGCCUCCUGCAUAGUAAUAGAUACAACUAUUUGGAUUGGUACCUGCAGAAGCCAGGGCAGUCUCCACAGCUCCUGAUCUAUUUGGGUUCUAAUCGGGCCUCUGGGGUCCCUGACAGGUUCAGUGGCAGUGGAUCAGGCACAGAUUUUACACUGAAAAUCAGCAGAGUGGAGGCUGAGGAUGUUGGGGUUUAUUACUGCAUGCAAGCUCUGCAAACUCC